Molecule: ribosomal RNA, 379 nt
Filed under: uncultured Bicosoecida
Lineage: Eukaryota; Bigyra; Bicosoecida
Description: partial small subunit ribosomal RNA
Rfam family: Eukaryotic small subunit ribosomal RNA
Source: RNAcentral
GCUUGUCUCAAAGAUUAAGCCAUGCAUGUUCAAACAUAAGUAUUAUAAAGCGAAGUUGCGAAUGGCUCAUUAUAUCAGUUAUAAUAUACUAGAUAGUUACUCUACUUGGAUAACCGUAGUAAUUCUAGAGCUAAUACAUGCGUAAAGGGUGCUGAAAGGCAUCUGUGUUUAUUAGAUACAACCAACCCCUCGCGGGUUUAGGUGAUUCAUAAUAACCGAACGAACCGCGUUCAGCGGUGAUUCUUUCUACAUUAUUCCCUAUCAGCUUUCGUUUUUUGUGUAGUGGACAAAAAAGGCUUUGACGGGUAACGGAGAAUUAGGGUUCGAUUCCGGAGAGGGAGCCUGAGAGAUGGCUACCACAUCCAAGGAAGGCAGCAGG